UCUUUUUAACUAAUUUUUUCAUGUCCAAAAAUUUUGAACCAUUCAUCUCAAAUAAUCCAUUAAAUUUUGACGCAUUUGAAUUUAAAUCUUAAAAUAUAUCGAAAUUAAAUUUUGAAUUUUGAAUUAGUAUUUACGGUUUAAGAUUUAGAUAAUUGUUUAAUUGGUAUAAUUUGACGUAAUUUGAACUUAUUUGAAUUAAUUUUAUUUAAUUUGGUUUAAAUAUAAUAAUUAACUAAGUAAUAAUUUAUUCUAAAAUAAAGAUAUUAAUUUUUUGCCAUUAGAUCUUAUCUAAUGAUUAAAAAUAAAAGUAUCUGUCACUUUUUGUGACAAUAAUACCUUCGCAUUUAUAUCAUAUUUUCUAUCUACGCGUUUCUCAAAUAUUUUCCUUCUCACACGUAAUAUCCGCACCCGCCAAUUCUUUCGCAACGUAAUAUCCGUGAAUUUUUCAAAUAUCUCAUUAAUCCACCUACCAUACACAUUCACCGCCUAUAUAAUAUCUAGUUAACCUUUCUCAUACGUAAUAUGACCUAUCAUAAUUUUGAAUUAAACAUAUCAUCGUAUUUGAAUUUAAAUAUUAAAAGGCUAAAUUACAGAAAACUCCCCUGUCAAAACUCGAUUUUUCACUUUCCCCCCUGUCAUUUAAAAACCUACACUUUAACCCCUUGUAAAAUAAAAAAUGUGCACUUUACCCCCUACCAUUAGAGUUCCGUUAUAACAUUUUUUUAUGCCAAAAAUACCCCUCCGCUCCUAUUCCCUGUUGCUUCGAUGGCUUCCGGGACGGCGCCCUCGCCGGCCUCACCCUCAUCCACGAGCUCAACCUCCUCUUCGACCGCCCCCUCGACGCCAUCUUCCUCAACUCCAACCGCCUCAGCCGCCGCCGCCCCAUCCCUGCCAACCUCGGCGACUCCCCAGCCUCCAUCGUCUUCCGCGCCCACAACAAACUCGGCGGCUGCAUCCCGCCCUCCAUCGGCCGCAUGGCCGACACUCUCAACGAGAUCGUCCUUCUCGACGACGGCCUCGCCACCUGCGUCCCGCCCGAGGUCGGCCUCCUCCGCCGCGGAUGAGGAGGAUGAGGGAGAAGACGAAAAUGGCGAAGGGCAAAAUGGUUAUUUUGUCACAUCGUACCCCCCUGUGAACAUUUUGUAUUUUACAAUGGGGCAAAGUGUAGGUUUUUAAAUGACAUGGGGGAAAGUGAAAAAGCGGGUUUUAACAGGGGGGUUUUUCAUAAUUUAGCCAUAUUAAAAUGUUUCAAAAUUUAAUUUUAAAUCAAAUAUGAAUUUUAUUGUGAAAAUAUCUUUAUCUUUUUAACUAAUUUUUUCAUGUCCAAAAAUUUUGAAUCAUUCAUCUCAAAUAAUAUAUUAAAUUUUAACGCAUUUGAAUUUAAAUUUUAAAAUAUAUCAAAAUUAAAUUUUGAAUUUUGAAUUAGUAUUUACAGUUUAAGAUUUAGAUAAUUGUUUAAUUGGUAUAAUUUGACUUAAUUUGAACUUAUUUGAAUUAAUUUUAUUUAAUUUGGUUUAAAUAUAAUAAUUAACUAAGUAAUAAUUUAUUCUAAAAUAAAGAUAUUAAUUUUUUGCCAUUAGAUCUUAUCUAAUGAUUGAAAAUAAAAGUAUCUGUCACUUUUUGUGACAAUAAUACCCUCGCAUUUAUAUCAUAUUUUCUAUCUACGCGUUUCUCAAAUAUUUUCCUUCUCACGCGUAAUAUCCGCACCUGCCAAUUCUUUCGCAACGUAAUAUCCGUGAAUUUUUCAAAUAUCUCAUUAAUCCACCUACCAUACACAUCCACCGCCUAUAUAAUAUCCAGUUAACAUUUCUCAUACGUAAUAUGACCUAUCAUAAUUUUGAAUUAAACAUAUCAUCGUAUUUGAAUUUAAAUAUUAAAAUAUUUCAAAAUUAAAUUUUAAAUCAAAUAUGAAUUUUAUUGCGAAAAUAUCUUUAUCUUUUUAACUAAUUUCUCAUAAGUAAUAUGACCUAUCAUAAUUUUGAAUUAAACAUAUCAUCGUAUUUGAAUUUAAAUAUUAGUGUAAUAUAUGCACCCGCCAAUUCUUUCGCAACGUAAUAUCCGUGAAUUUUUCAAAUAUCUCAAUAAUCCACCUACCAUACACAUCCAUCACCUACAUAAUAUAUCAUCGUAUUUGAAUUUAAAUAUUAAAGUGAUUCAAAAUUAAAUUUUAAAUCAAAUAUGAAUUUUAUUGCGAAAAGAUCUUUAUCU
RNAcentral lists this long non-coding RNA (2208 nucleotides) under Ananas comosus (pineapple). RNAcentral describes it as "long non-coding RNA (ACOM_LNC008176)". The record is from RNAcentral. Lineage: Eukaryota; Viridiplantae; Streptophyta; Magnoliopsida; Poales; Bromeliaceae.